CUCAAGUGCCUUUUUUUUUAAGAUCACUAUAUAUGGCUCUGAUGUUGCCUCAUUGGAAAGGGGUUGCUCAGAACAUCACACAAACACGAGUACUCAUUGGACUUUUAUUUGCCACAUGAACAGACUUCAGGACUGUAUUAGUAUUUUACUAUUAUUAUUGUUUUUUGUUUUGUUUUUGUUUCUUUUCUUCCUCUGACUGUAAAGGUUUCCGUUCGAUGCGGUAAAGUCAAUGUCGUGAGGAGAACCCGGAACCAACAUUAUGGCGUCCGUUGGCCCGGACGGAUUUUGUUGUCGUACACAAAACAAAUCGGGCUGAAUUCAGCUGCACGUUUGGACGCGGAACUUACAAUUUUUGGCAAAAAAGACUCAUAAAACCAUGGCUGUUUCUCUCACUUGACGCUGGAAUUGAUGUUGGGGAUCGAGGAGGUUUUGAGCGGACACGCAGCCGACAGACGCAAAGUUGUGGGACACGUGGACGGCUCUGCGCUACGAUGACGAGGACAACCUGCUUUUGGACAGCUUACAUGUUGGAUGACGAUGGUCUCCUUGUCGCUGCCUGGUGAAGUCGUCGGCCAGUGGGAAGAGAUUGCAGACCUAAGACAAAAUGUCAACUUGUGCUGCAAAUGUUUUUUGACAUGGAGGUGAAACUCACCAGUGACGAAAAGGGUGUGAAAUUUGUUUUCUGGGACUGUCAAGUGCUCGCACAUCUGCAUUGCCAGGACUCUGACCAUGUUCCCCAGCACCUGUGGAAAAACAACAACAAAUUUGGUAGAAGGAAAGACUGGAGUCAAGAGCAAAGAGCUUACCGUUAAAAGAGUCAACUUCAGUGUUGGAUGACAGGUCCACUUCACCAGGCAGUCACUGACGACAGUUUCCUCGUCACCGGUCAUCGUGAGGAGAGCAUGGACCGGUGUGCCGUGACCCUGGAAAACAAAGACAUCCGUGAAUCAAACCUUUAUACCAAACAUGUUUUUUUUGUAGCAAAUUGUUUGCAAUGAAACUUACAGGGAAAGGAUGUGCAACUUGUUUUUUCUGCAACUGAGACCUUGCAGGAAGUUGAAGAUGUUCCUCAGCCUGUGGAAGAACAACAACACGUUUUGGGCAGAGAAAAGUCACAAUUGUGGAGACCAUUGUGAGCGUACCAAAGUUGGCUCCUCAAAUUCAUCCCCCACUUUUGGUUGUCAUCACCUGGAUGUUGUCCUUCAGCUGAGGAAGAGGAGCGCACCAGGAUGAGGAGAGGAAGGCCUGGACCGGAAGCCAGCCUGCAUGCAGGGUCAAAACCAAAAAGCAGGUGAGUGAUCUUCAAAACUUACUUUCAGCUUUGGUUUGCAGCUUAUAUCAUCUCAGCAUGGUGGACAGGAAGUUGAUCAUGAUGCCAUUUCCCCCACCACAACAAAUCAAGUACUUGCAUUCAUCAAGUGUCUCUGCAACAGAUCAAGUCAGACCUUAACGAAGGAGAUUGCUUCAUGAGUCAGUCCAAGGUGCAUGGUGAUGCUGGACUCAGGUUCUCCAAGACGGGCGACAUUUCUUUGACCAGUUGAAAUUGACUGUGCAAAACAAGACAAGUCUUAUUUUAUUAAAAUACCAUUGAAGCUGAAAUAAAUUUAUCAUGAAUAUGCAUACUUUGUUCUCAUUGAGGACCCCUCGUGCAUCUUGUUCCUCUCGCUGCUCUGGAUGGCUGUCAAGACGUGAUGUGAGGGGUGGUUGCUGCAAGUCAUCUCAGGUGUCCCUUACCCUCCUUCAGAAGAUUACCUUUAACACAGAUGGACAUGCAGGAGGAAAAUGGAAAACUGAGGCCAGAAUUUCUAAAAGACAUCUGUUAAGUUUUGCCAUACAGCACAUUUGACAAGAGAAGAAACCCACCAGCAAUGAAGAGGAUGUGACUUGUUGCUGCCUGGGACUUCGUCCAAGUGCUCACAUUGCUGCAUUCACAGGAAGCUGAGCAUGAAGGAAGGAAAAACAUUUGAUCAACAUUGUGAGGAUUGUGACCUGUAUUCACAGAGUGGACUGUAAAGUGUGGACACCAGUGCAAACCAUCAAACUUGUCCCCAACUUCUCUGGCUGCUCCAGUUUGGCUUCUGCACCUUCUGAUGUGCUCUUCCAGCUGAGGAAGAAGACAUGCAGACAGGUGCAUGAUCUUGGGGGGGCCAGGGUGCUUCUCCACGAUGGCUCUUGUUCUGGAAGCUGCCCUGCACGCAGAGUCAAAAAAACAAAAACAGCGUGUCAAACCCAGCAGACGUGGCGACAGGCGAGCCUCGUACAUCUUGUUCCUCUCGCAGCUCUGCAUGACGUCAACACUGCACACAAAAAGCAGGAUGUGAGGAGUGGUUGCUGCAAGUCACCCUCCUUCAGAAGAUUGCCUUGAACACAGAUGAGCAUGCAGUAGGAAAAUAGUCAACUGAGGCCAGAAUUUCUAAAACAAAGACAUCUGUUACGUUUUGCCAUACAGCACAUUUGACAAGAGAUGAAACCCACCAGCAAUGAAGAGGAUGUGACUUGUUUCUCUCUGGGACUUUGUCCAAGCGCUCACAGGAAGGAAAAACAUUUGAACAACAUUGUGAUGAUUGUUCAGUGUAUUCACAGAGUGGACUGUCAAGUGUGUGUGGACACCAGUGCAAACAUCUCAAACUUGUCCAACUCCUCAGGCUGCUCCACAGUUUGGUUUCAGCAUCUUCUGAUGUGGUCAUUCAGCUGAAUUAAAAUAAGUUGCACUUGAGCCGACUGAAGCCGGAAUGACAGUUUCCUCAUUGCUGAUGACCAUCACAAUCAAGACGAGCGCGUCGACCAAUGUGUCGUGACCUCCCUGAAGAAGCCAAAAAGACAUCGCAGGUGCAGGAUCUUGAGGGCCAAGGUGGUUCUCUGCCACAAUGGAACUUGUCCUGGAAGCCACCCUGCAUGCAGACCUCGUACACGAUCUUGUUACUCACGCAGCGCUGGAUGAAGUCAAAAGGAUGUCAGUCUUUGACCCAGAUCAAGUCAGACCUUGAAGCAGGAAAUCUGCUUCACUCGUCGGUUCAAGCCGGGUUCAGGUUCUCCAGGGCCAAGAUGCUUUUGCACCACCUAGUGGACAUGAGCGAAGAGUAGUGAAGAGUGUUCAAACCCAGCGGCGCUUCAAGUGGAGGUUGUCAUAACUGCACACAGAAGCAGGAUGUAAGGAAUGUUUGCUGCAAAGGCACAAUCUUUUACCAUCACCAUUGGAGAUGAAUGCAUUUUGGGUGUUGUGACAUGUUCCCACCUUAAUGAUGUCAUCACAGGAAUAAAUCUGUUAGCUUUUG
This is a long non-coding RNA of Phyllopteryx taeniolatus (common seadragon), 3275 nucleotides long. RefSeq lists it as uncharacterized. The record is from RefSeq and is a predicted model, not a curated record. Lineage: Eukaryota; Metazoa; Chordata; Actinopteri; Syngnathiformes; Syngnathidae. The transcript is spliced from 9 exons.